GGACUACCAGGGUAUCUAAUCCCGUUUGCUCCCCACGCUUUCGCGCCUCAGCGUCAGGAAAUGCCCAGAGACCCGCCUUCGCCACCGGUGUUCCUCCCGAUCUCUACACAUUUCACCGCUACACCGGGAAUUCCAGUCUCCUCUGCAUCCCUCAAGAACGGCAGUAUCGGCCGACCCCCCUCAGUUGAGCCGAGGGAUUUCACGACCGACUUGCCAUCCCGCCUACGCGCCCUUUACGCCCAGUGAUUCCGAGCAACGCUUGCCCCCUCUGUCUUACCGCGGCUGCUGGCAC
Molecule: ribosomal RNA, 292 nt
Filed under: uncultured bacterium
Lineage: Bacteria
Description: partial 16S ribosomal RNA
Source: RNAcentral